Molecule: ribosomal RNA, 789 nt
Filed under: uncultured archaeon
Lineage: Archaea
Description: bacterial SSU rRNA
Rfam family: Archaeal small subunit ribosomal RNA
Source: RNAcentral
ACGGCUCAGUAACACGUGGACAACCUACCCUAUGGAGGGGGAUAACCCCGGGAAACUGGGGAUAAUACCCCAUAGACUAUAGAUGCUGGAAUGCUUUGUAGUUGAAAGGUCCGCCGCCAUAGGAUGGGUCUGCGGCCGAUUAGGUUGUUGUUGGGGUAACGGCCCAACAAGCCUGUAAUCGGUACGGGUUGUGGGAGCAAGAGCCCGGAGAUGGAUUCUGAGACACGAAUCCAGGCCCUACGGGGCGCAGCAGGCGCGAAAACUUUACAAUGCGGGAAACCGUGAUAAGGGAACUCCGAGUGCCCGUAAAAUCGGGCUGUCCAUCUGUUUAAAUAACAGGUGAAGAAAGGGCCGGGCAAGACCGGUGCCAGCCGCCGCGGUAAUACCGGCGGCUCGAGUGGUGGCCACUAUUACUGGGCUUAAAGCGUUCGUAGCUGGUCUGUUAAGUCUCUGGGGAAAUCUACUGGCUUAACCAAUAGGCGUCUCAGGGAUACUGGCAGACUAGGGACCGGGAGAGGUGAGAGGUACUCCAGGGGUAGGAGUGAAAUCCUGUAAUCCUUGGGGGACCACCUGUGGCGAAGGCGUCUCACCAGAACGGCUCCGACAGUGAGGGACGAAAGCUGGGGGAGCAAACCGGAUUAGAUACCCGGGUAGUCCCAGCCGUAAACGAUGCGCGUUAGGUGUAUCGGUGACCACGAGUCACCGACGUGCCGAAGAGAAAUCGUGAAACGUGCCGCCUGGGAAGUACGGUCGCAAGGCUGAAACUUAAAGGAAUUGGCGGGGGAGCAC